Paramuricea clavata is the source of this 265-nucleotide non-coding RNA. NCBI's taxonomy places the organism in Eukaryota, Metazoa, Cnidaria, Anthozoa, Malacalcyonacea, Plexauridae. The record is from the annotation of a GenBank genome assembly.
CCCCCCCCCCUCGCCCGUACGGCUAUAAUCAGCCGUUGUUACGGAUCGCUUAUAUAUUGUGUUACUGUAAAAGUAUUUUGACUUUGUUGUUUCUGAUGACAUUUGCCGACUCUCGACUUUUUACUCUCGAUCGACUCUCGACUUUUUACUCUCGACUCUCGACUUUUUACUCUCGACUCUCGACUUUUACUCUCGACUCUCGACUUUUACUCUCGACUCUCUACUUUUACUCUCGACUCUCGACCUUUACUCUCGACUCUCGACC